GUAUAUUUUCAUGUGAUUUGAUAAUGUAAAAACUGAAAAAAGAUUAAACCCAGACAGUUUUCGACAUAUGAUUUAUUACCCGAGUAGGAUAGACGUAGUUCAGCUGAAAACCAAACAUCGCUUAACAUUAUUAAAUAGAUUUAAAAAAAGGAUAAACUUACACCAGUAUGUGACAACAGGAUCCCUUGUUUCAUGCUCACUAGCUGUCUUCAAAUAAUGCUGGAUGUUCUUUAGCGAAGGAGGGCAGGGCGGCAGUUGCAGUGACAUCGUCAAAAUAAUUAUUCGAUUUGGCAGCAGGAGGUUUGAUUUUAAUUUUUAUUUGAAUACCUGAGAAAAACAUUUCUUCUCAGUAUGGCAAGUGAAACAGAGAAACAAAUUGCUAGUGACUUGGCACUGCUACGUAAAAGGUUCAACAGCACUACAGACACAGGACGAGCAAAUUGUGUCAAGUUAGUAUAUGGAGUGAUCGGUACAACACUUUUAUAUUACCAGAUAAAAAAGAAAAUAUUUCCACCAACAGAAUCAGAAGAACAGGCUAAAAAGAAUGUCCAUUAACAUUUAAUGGUAAUUAAUCUUAUUGCACAUGUGAUUUAACAAACAAUAAAUAUAUUUAAAAAAUA
This is a long non-coding RNA of Cimex lectularius (bed bug), 620 nucleotides long. RefSeq lists it as uncharacterized. The transcript has 3 exons. The record is from RefSeq and is a predicted model, not a curated record. NCBI's taxonomy places the organism in Eukaryota, Metazoa, Arthropoda, Insecta, Hemiptera, Cimicidae.